RNAcentral lists this long non-coding RNA (3639 nucleotides) under Sus scrofa (pig). RNAcentral describes it as "lncRNA (ENSSSCG00000052594.1)". Lineage: Eukaryota; Metazoa; Chordata; Mammalia; Artiodactyla; Suidae. The record is from RNAcentral.
GCUGUAUAGCAUGGGGAUCAAGUUAUUCUUACAUGUAUACAUUUUUUCCCCCACACUUUGUUCUUUUGCAAUAUGAGUAUCUAGACAUAGUUCUCAAUGCUACUCAGCAGGAUCUCCUUGUAAAUCUAUUCUAAGUUGUAUCUGAUAACCCCAAGCUCCCAAUCCCUCCCACUCCCUCCCUUUCCCAUCCAGCAGCCACAAGUCUAUUCUCCAAGUCCAUGAUUUUCCUUACCCCCUGCUAGGAGCUACCUUAGCAAAAGUAUAGGCCAUUCCUUUGGUGGAAAAGCAAAGGAAACUUCUGUGGACAUCACCAACUGACAAGGAGAAACCCUAGCUAUUUCAGCAGCUGUCCAGAAUUUUCCAGGCAUUCAUUCCUUUGAUUUAGACCAAAUAAAAUACAAGAGAUGGGAGAGAGUUCAGAUAAGUGCCCGAAUGUAUGCAGUAGACACUUCUGAGGUAUAAACUCCCAUACGGCUUCUCCAUAGUCGUUUUAGGACCUAACAACCAAAUCCAUUUCCUUUGUUGCAGUUCCACAAUGCAUCACAUUGGACUUGUUCUUUUCUUUUUCUGCCUCCCUGAUAUUAUUCCCUCACUCUUGCUUCCCUAAGAUUGUACCUCCCAAUAAACCAUUAGCAAUUAUUUUUUGUUUUCUGAGGAAUCUAUGCAAAAAGACUACAAAAUAAUAAACAUUUGCUUUGGUCAAUCUUUUAAAAUUAUCUGACAUUUUUUCCUAAUAUUUAAUGUCUCUGUUUUAAUCACUAAAUCAAGGGUAAUUUUAGUUUUUAUGUAAUUCAUUUAUAAAUGUGUGUCCUGAAGACACCAUCAAGACAUCAACAUCAUAGUUUAUCAAUGUAAGUAUAUAUUUUUAAUCAUUAAUAAUUAUGUUUCCAAGCUGACUUAAUAUCCUUAACAAGGAAGUUGGUUGGAGGGUCAAGAAGAGGUUCUUCUGAAAUAAUCAGAAUCAAAUCAAGAUUGCAUUUGCAAGAGCUGAUGUCACUUCAUACUAUUUGGAUUUAUGUGCUUAAGGAUUGAGCUGGACAGUUCUCUUUUUUAUGUUGUAUUGGGCUGUUCUUUAAAUUACAGAAUUAAAUGCUCCAAGAUGAAAUCUUUUGAGUUACAGUGUCCCUGAAUCAAAUGCUGUAAAGAUGAAGCAGCUUCGCUGUUAUGUCUGUCAAAGCCUUCUAGCUAUGCUUCACAUUUGGUGCCUUUAUAUUUGUUCUUCUAUUUCUAUUUUGUUAAAUAAAAUGUUGGAACAUAUACCAAGAAACACAGAUUGUCCAUAGCAGCAUGAGACUUGGGCUGUGGUUGGAAAUAAUUUAAAUUAAACAUUACAUGAACACUGAAGAAGUUUCCAACUUCCCAAUUUAACUGUGUAUAAAUUAUACCCCCCAAAAAAUGUAAUAGAAGAAUAUUAUAUAAAGGAACCUAGGAAUCUAAAUAUAUAAUUGAUAUAUAUUUUCUAUUUUUAUAUAAAUUAUAUUUUAAAAAUAAAAUUAACUAUAUGCUCAUUUUUAACAAAAGAUUACCAAAUCCCGCCAGAAUAAAGUACUAAACAUAGAAAAGUAUCUAGAACAUAAAUCUUGCUUGAAAAAAAUUAUAAAUUACAUAUGUAAAAUAUAAAUUAUGCUUUUAAAGAGAAUUCUUACCCAAAACAUAUAUUCUAUGAUCAGCUAAAGGUCAUUCAAUGUUAAGGAUGUAAAUAAUCAUGCAAAUGUUUUUCCAAUUGGGCAACAAAAAGUGUUCAUUUUAUUCUACAAGUCUCCAAAAUACUGUGUUGCUUAUCAAGUUUUAAAAUAACUGCGACUGUGUCCACGUUUUGGCAGCCACAAACUAUGGCGUGACUAGAACUUUGCUCAUGUUGCUUUGGAUUCACAAGCUGUGUCUAAAUGCAGCCUCUGAAUUGGACUGCUGCAUGCAGAAUCUAGCCAAAUUGGUUGCAGAGAUCUUCAUCAAAUGUUAAGAGAGCCAAAAGAUCCAAUUAUUAAAGACAUUUUCAAUCUAUAGUCACAGACAUAGUCUAGGCCAAGGCCCAACAUAUGCCAAAGAGUGGCAGAAGACAUUUGGAGGAUGAUGUCACUCUUGAGAGUUGGUAACAGAUGACCCUGACUGGAGAGUCGUAGGAAGUAGAUUUUUUAAAAACCAGGCGUGACCUAAUCACAGACUGGAUUAUCAGAGAAGUUUCCUAAAAAAGAAAAAAAAAAAAAUCUCCAGCCUAAGUAUAAUCUGCUCUACAGGGGCAAGACACUAACAAAGAAAACAGUAGAUAUACCAAUAGGAAAAGGUAACGCAAAUGCCCAUAAAUUUGAGGACUUACACUAAAUGAGCAAACUUCUAUAAAACGUUAACUUACCAAAACAUAUACUCAAGAAGGUAGUAAAAACCUCAAUAGUACCAUAACUGUAAAGGACACUGAAGUAGAGUUUCUUCCCACAAAGAAAAAAACGGGCCCAGACUAUUUUAUAGGCAAUUUCUACAAAGCUUUCAGAGAACAAAUAAUUCCAAAAUCUUAUACAAAGAAUUCCAGAGUAUAGGCAAAAGCAGAGAAGAGAAAACAACUCAUUUUAUGUGAUUUUAUAAAAUCUUGUUACUAAAACUAAACAAGGACAGCAAGAAAAAGGAAGAUUACAGGCCAAUCUCCUUCAUGUACAUAGACUCAAAAAUCCCAAAUAAAGUAUUAAUAAACUUAAUUAAUCACUGUAUACAAAAUACACUCUCAUCAAUUCAGUUUCUAUUAAGAAUAAAAAGUUGAGACUGGGAACUAUAUCUAGUCACUUAUGGAGCAUGAUAGUGUGAGAAAAAAGAAUCUAUACAUGUAUGUGUUAACUGGGUCACUGUGCUAUACAGUAUAAAACUGACAGAACACUGUAAACCAGCUAUAAUGAAAAAAAUAAAAAUCAUUAUAUAAAAUAAAUUAAUUAAUUAAAAAAAUAAAAAGUUGAGACACAUGAUUUCAGCUCCAAGAUAUAAAGGAACUUAGGAGGUUGUCGCUUCCCUCUUUACAAGAAACAAAGGUGGACAGACUAAAAACAUACAUAUAUUUAUAUGUGUAUAUAUCAGAUAACUGAAGUUAUAAGAUAAAUUUCCACCCCCAAAUGUGGAAGGAGGCACAUCCAGAAAGAGGGAGUAACCAAGACAUACUUCAUUACAACAGAAACUGCUUGAGACAUAAACUGAUAGGAGCAAUUCAAUGGUUUGUUGUUUGUUUGUUUGUUUUGUCUUUUUAGGGCUAUACCCAUGGCAUGUGGAGGUUCCCAGGCUAGGAGUCAAAUUGGAGUUGUAGCCUCUGGCCUAUGCCACAACCACAGCAACUCGGGAUCAAAGCCAUGUCUGUGAGCUACACCAUAGAUCACGGCAAUGCCAGAUCCUUAACCCACUGAGUGUGGCCAGGGAUUAAACCUGCGUCCUCAUGGAUACUAGUCAGAUUUUUUUCUGCUGAGCCAUGACAGGAACUCCCAUUCAGUGGUAAUGUUGACUGAGGGCUGAGUGUUGGACUAAUAUGAGAGGAAGGAACUAUUGGAGCCACAGUCUUAGAAUGGCCCCUGAAGAUUUUCAUGGGCUUUCCCUCCAGGAACUCCAACAAAUUCUCACUUGAGGAUCUUAUAAUUAGAGAAAGAGUCCCUCGUACCUCUGGCAAUGGGA